Molecule: transfer-messenger RNA, 353 nt
Filed under: Actinomycetota bacterium
Lineage: Bacteria; Bacillati; Actinomycetota
Rfam family: transfer-messenger RNA
About the family: Bacterial tmRNA, also known as 10Sa RNA or SsrA, is named for its dual tRNA and mRNA-like properties.
Source: RNAcentral
GGGGGUGAUCGGCUUCGACUUUGGUUGUUGCGUCGGGAGAAGCGAGCCGUGGUGUCCGGAGCCACGUUAAAGAGCCGGAACCAAUAAAUAAACGCCGAGCCUCAGCUCGCACUGGCCGCUUAAUAGCGACCCGUCCGUCCGGCCCCGGUCCCGCGGGUCGGGUACGGGCGUCAUCUAGUGGGACUCACCCGAUGGUUGUGUCGGCAGGCCAUCGGGGACAUGUUUUGCCGACUGAGGUCCUCCACCGGUGCCGGUGGCGAGUGGAGGACCCGAGAAUCUGAUCACUGGCUGCGCUCGGAGAAGAACCGAUAAGGCAUCGAAGGACGCGGGUUCGAUUCCCGCCACCUCCACUC